Molecule: ribosomal RNA, 746 nt
Filed under: uncultured soil bacterium
Lineage: Bacteria
Description: bacterial SSU rRNA
Rfam family: Bacterial small subunit ribosomal RNA
Source: RNAcentral
GAACGCUGGCGGCAUGCCUUACACAUGCAAGUCGAACGGCAGCACGGGAGCAAUCCUGGUGGCGAGUGGCGAACGGGUGAGUAAUACAUCGGAACGUGCCCAGUUGUGGGGGAUAGCCCGGCGAAAGCCGGAUUAAUACCGCAUACGACCUACGGGUGAAAGCGGGGGAUCGCAAGACCUCGCGCAAUUGGAGCGGCCGAUGUCAGAUUAGCUAGUUGGUGGGGUAAAAGCCUACCAAGGCGACGAUCUGUAGCUGGUCUGAGAGGACGACCAGCCACACUGGGACUGAGACACGGCCCAGACUCCUACGGGAGGCAGCAGUGGGGAAUUUUGGACAAUGGGCGCAAGCCUGAUCCAGCCAUGCCGCGUGUGGGAAGAAGGCCUUCGGGUUGUAAACCACUUUUGUCAGGGAAGAAACGGUCCAACCUAAUACGUUGGACUAAUGACGGUACCUGAAGAAUAAGCACCGGCUAACUACGUGCCAGCAGCCGCGGUAAUACGUAGGGUGCAAGCGUUAAUCGGAAUUACUGGGCGUAAAGCGUGCGCAGGCGGCUUUGCAAGACAGAUGUGAAAUCCCCGGGCUCAACCUGGGAACUGCAUUUGUGACUGCAAGGCUAGAGUACGGUAGAGGGGGAUGGAAUUCCGCGUGUAGCAGUGAAAUGCGUAGAUAUGCGGAGGAACACCGAUGGCGAAGGCAAUCCCCUGGACCUGUACUGACGCUCAUGCACGAAAGCGUGGGGAGCAAA